CCUACGGGAGGCAGCAGUGGGGAAUAUUGCGCAAUGGGCGAAAGCCUGACGCAGCGACGCCGCGUGAGGGAUGAAGGCCUUCGGGUUGUAAACCUCUUUCAGCAGGGACGAAAUCAGACGGUACCUGCAGAAGAAGCACCGGCCAACUACGUGCCAGCAGCCGCGGUAAUACGUAGGGUGCAAGCGUUGUCCGGAAUUAUUGGGCGUAAAGAGCUCGUAGGCGGUUUGUCGCGUCGGCUGUGAAAACUCGGGGCUCAACCCCGAGCCUGCAGUCGAUACGGGCAGACUAGAGUGCUGUAGGGGAGACUGGAAUUCCUGGUGUAGCGGUGAAAUGCGCAGAUAUCAGGAGGAACACCGGUGGCGAAGGCGGGUCUCUGGGCAGUAACUGACGCUGAGGAGCGAAAGCGUGGGGAGCAAACAGGAUUAGAUACCCUGGUAGUCCACGCCGUAAACGGUGGGUGNGUAGUGUAGUGUAUCACGCGAUCUGUGCGCNGCUACGCAUAGACACCCCGCCGUCGGGAGGUACGGCCGGCCGACGGACGUAAACCUACAAACUAGAAGUUAGUACGGCGUGAGACGUGCCGACGGACGACGACGAGGGAGGUUAGG
This 609-nucleotide ribosomal RNA is filed under the name uncultured bacterium. RNAcentral's name for it is "bacterial SSU rRNA". The stretch from base 1 to 514 matches the Rfam family "Bacterial small subunit ribosomal RNA", at positions 338 to 873 of the family's 1533-position model. The record is from RNAcentral.